CGGCCUGUAUUCGCUCGUCGGGCGGCACGGCGAGGCUGGAGUCGCUGCCGGGGGUCGGCCGGGCCAGCGCGGUGCGGAUGAAGCCGCCGGUGGACGCGUCCAUGGCGGAUCACUCCACAUACUGACCACCCAUGCGGCCCCAUCAGGCUCCAUCACUCCCUUACAACCAUCAGGCUCCUGACCCAGCAUGGAUAACUUCACUGAACUGAUUCCACAACUUGUGAUUCACUGUCAAAGACUUGGCAACUCGAGUUCUCAGGAAUAAUUAUAUAACACGGAGAACUGUGGUCAAUCGGAGUUCGGAGGCUGAUGCACCAUCAAUAACUCUCUCUGAGACGUAAAGGAAUGAGAAACACCUUGUCAGGCUCUGGGAAUUUAUCCACUGUAACGUACC
Molecule: long non-coding RNA, 394 nt
Organism: Hypanus sabinus (Atlantic stingray)
Lineage: Eukaryota; Metazoa; Chordata; Chondrichthyes; Myliobatiformes; Dasyatidae
Exons: 3
Source: RefSeq, a predicted model, not a curated record